GAUGAACGCUGGCGGUCUGCUUAACACAUGCAAGUCGAACGAACUCUUCGGAGUGAGUGGCGGACGGGUGAGUAACGCGUGAGAAUCUGCCUGUGGGUCGGGGACAACCACUGGAAACGGUGGCUAAUACCGGAUGAGCCGAAAGGUAAAAAAUUUAUUGCCCACAGAUGAGCUCGCGUCUGAUUAGCUAGUUGGUAAGGUAAAAGCGUACCAAGGCGACGAUCAGUAGCUGGUCUGAGAGGAUGAGCAGCCACACUGGGACUGAGACACGGCCCAGACUCCUACGGGAGGCAGCAGUGGGGAAUUUUCCGCAAUGGGCGAAAGCCUGACGGAGCAAGACCGCGUGGGGGAGGAAGGUUUUUGGAUCGUAAACCCCUUUUGUCAAGGAAGAAGUUCUGACGGUACUUGACGAAUAAGCCUCGGCUAACUCCGUGCCAGCAGCCGCGGUAAUACGGAGGAGGCAAGCGUUAUCCGGAAUGAUUGG
This 484-nucleotide ribosomal RNA is filed under the name uncultured bacterium. RNAcentral's name for it is "bacterial SSU rRNA". It matches the Rfam family "Bacterial small subunit ribosomal RNA", at positions 28 to 557 of the family's 1533-position model. The record is from RNAcentral.